RNAcentral lists this ribosomal RNA (450 nucleotides) under uncultured bacterium. RNAcentral's name for it is "bacterial SSU rRNA". It matches the Rfam family "Bacterial small subunit ribosomal RNA", at positions 354 to 796 of the family's 1533-position model. The record is from RNAcentral.
GUGGGGAAUAUUGGACAAUGGGCGAAAGCCUGAUCCAGCCAUGCCGCGUGUGUGAAGAAGGUCUUCGGAUUGUAAAGCACUUUAAGUUGGGAGGAAGGGCAGUAAGUUAAUACCUUGCUGUUUUGACGUUACCGACAGAAUAAGCACCGGCUAACUUCGUGCCAGCAGCCGCGGUAAUACGAAGGGUGCAAGCGUUAAUCGGAAUUACUGGGCGUAAAACGCGCGUAGGUGGUUUUGUAAGUUGGAGGUGAAAUCCCCGGGCUCAACCUGGGAACUGCCUCCAAAACUGCAGGACUAGAGUACGGUAGAGGGUAGUGGAAUUUCCUGUGUAGCGGUGAAAUGCGUAGAUAUAGGAAGGAACACCAGUGGCGAAGGCGACUACCUGGACUGAUACUGACACUGAGGUGCGAAAGCGUGGGGAGCAAACAGGAUUAGAUACCCUUGUAGUCC